This is a non-coding RNA of Microcebus murinus (gray mouse lemur), 255 nucleotides long. The record is from RefSeq and is a predicted model, not a curated record. NCBI's taxonomy places the organism in Eukaryota, Metazoa, Chordata, Mammalia, Primates, Cheirogaleidae.
AGAGGAGCAAGAGGGAGGCUGGUGGUGAUCAGGUUCCCUUCUUUUAGCUUCGGAAACGCCUAGAUCCUGGCUGCUCCUCCGAAGUCGUACUCAGAAUGGUCCAACGUUUGACAUAUCGCCGUAGGCUUUCCUACAACACAGCCUCUAACAAAACUAGGCUGUCCCGAACCCCUGGUAAUAGAAUUGUUUACCUUUAUACCAAGAAGGUUGGGAAAGCACCAAAAUCUGCAUGUGGUGUGUGCCCAGGUAGACUUC